This 446-nucleotide ribosomal RNA is filed under the name uncultured bacterium. RNAcentral describes it as "partial 16S ribosomal RNA". It matches the Rfam family "Bacterial small subunit ribosomal RNA", at positions 338 to 795 of the family's 1533-position model. The record is from RNAcentral.
CCUACGGGGGGCUGCAGUCGAGAAUCAUUCACAAUGGGGGAAACCCUGAUGGUGCGACGCCGCGUGGGGGAAUGAAGGUCUUCGGAUUGUAAACCCCUGUCAUGUGGGAGCAAAUUAAAAAGAUAGUACCACAAGAGGAAGAGCCGGCUAACUCUGUGCCAGCAGCCGCGGUAAUACAGAGGUCUCAAGCGUUGUUCGGAAUCACUGGGCGUAAAGCGUGCGUAGGCUGUUUCGUAAGUCGUGUGUGAAAGGCGCGGGCUCAACCCGCGGACGGCACAUGAUACUGCGAGACUAGAGUAAGGGAGGGGGAACCGGAAUUCUCGGUGUAGCAGUGAAAUGCGUAGAUAUCGAGAGGAACACUCGUGGCGAAGGCGGGUUCCUGGACAUUAACUGACGCUGAGGCACGAAGGCCAGGGGAGCGAAAGGGAUUAGAUACCCGUGUAGUC